UGGGGAAUUUUGCGCAAUGGGCGAAAGCCUGACGCAGCAACGCCGCGUGGGUGAUGAAGGUCUUCGGAUCGUAAAACCCUGUCGUCAGGGACGAAGGUUGUAUGCCUAACAGGUGUGCAGCUUGACGGUACCUGGAGAGGAAGCCCCGGCUAACUCUGUGCCAGCAGCCGCGGUAAUACAGAGGGGGCAAGCGUUAUUCGGAAUUAUUGGGCGUAAAGGGCGCGUAGGCGGUGUCUUAAGUGAGAUGUGUAAUCCCCGAGCUUAACUUGGGAACUGCAUCUCAGACUGGGGCGCUAGAGUGCUGGAGAGGGUGGCAGAAUUCCAGUGUAGCGGUGAAAUGCGUAGAGAUGUGGAGAUACCGAGUGGCGAAGGCGGCACCUGGACAGUAACUGACGCUGA
This 399-nucleotide ribosomal RNA is filed under the name uncultured bacterium. Its description in RNAcentral is "bacterial SSU rRNA". It matches the Rfam family "Bacterial small subunit ribosomal RNA", at positions 355 to 749 of the family's 1533-position model. The record is from RNAcentral.